AGCGGAACGAUCCUAGCUUGCUAGGAGGCGUCGAGCGGCGGACGGGUGAGUAACGCGUGAGAAUCUACCCAUGAGNGGGGGACAACCCGGGGAAACUCGGGCUAAUACCGCAUACGCCCUACGGGGUAAAGCAGGGGACCUUCGGGCCUUGCGCUGAUGGANGAGCUCGCGUCGGAUUANCUUGUUGGUGAGGUAAAGGCUCNCCAAGGCGACGAUCCGUAGCUGGUCUGAGAGGAUGAUCAGCCACNCCGGGACUGAGACACGGCCCGGACUCCUACGGGAGGCNGCAGUGGGGAAUCUUGGACAAUGGGGGCAACCCUGAUCCAGCCAUGCCGCGUGUGUGAAGAAGGCCUUCGGGUUGUAAAGCACUUUCNGCAGGGAGGAAGGNUUACCCCUAAUANGGGUGAGUNCUUGACGUUACCUGCAGAAGAAGCACCGGCUAAUUUCGUGCCAGCAGCCGCGGUAAUACGAAAGGUGCAAGCGUUAAUCGGAAUUACUGGGCGUAAAGCGCGCGUAGGCGGUGUGUUAAGUCGGAUGUGAAAGCCCAGGGCUCAACCUUGGAAUUGC
RNAcentral lists this ribosomal RNA (567 nucleotides) under uncultured bacterium. RNAcentral describes it as "bacterial SSU rRNA". It matches the Rfam family "Bacterial small subunit ribosomal RNA", at positions 64 to 624 of the family's 1533-position model. The record is from RNAcentral.